RNAcentral lists this ribosomal RNA (278 nucleotides) under uncultured bacterium. Its description in RNAcentral is "partial 16S ribosomal RNA". It matches the Rfam family "Bacterial small subunit ribosomal RNA", at positions 44 to 334 of the family's 1533-position model. The record is from RNAcentral.
GCGCUUAACACAUGCAAGUCGCACGAGAAAGCAGGAGCAAUCUUGUGAGUAAAGUGGCGUACGGGUGAGUAACACGUGGAUCAUCUACCUUCUAGUGGGGCAUACCUCUGGGAAACCGGAGAUAAUUCCGCAUAAGCUCGUAAGAGGAAAGCAGCAAUGCGCUGGAAGAGGAGUCCGCGGCUGAUUAGCUAGAUGGCGGGGUAACGGCCCACCAUGGCGAAGAUCGGUAGCCGGCCUGAGAGGGCACACGGCCACACUGGCACUGAAACACGGGCCAG